ACGGAAGUAGUUCAGUUGGUAGAACGUCGGUCUCCAAAACCGAAAGUCGUGAGUUCGAGCCUUACCUUCCGUG
RNAcentral lists this transfer RNA (73 nucleotides) under Bacteroidetes oral taxon 274 str. F0058. It matches the Rfam family "tRNA". From Rfam's summary of the family: Transfer RNA (tRNA) molecules are approximately 80 nucleotides in length. Their secondary structure includes four short double-helical elements and three loops (D, anti-codon, and T loops). Further hydrogen bonds mediate the characteristic L-shaped molecular structure. tRNAs have two regions of fundamental functional importance: the anti-codon, which is responsible for specific mRNA codon recognition, and the 3' end, to which the tRNAs corresponding amino acid is attached (by aminoacyl-tRNA synthetases). tRNAs cope with the degeneracy of the genetic code in two manners: having more than one tRNA (with a specific anti-codon) for a particular amino acid; and 'wobble' base-pairing, i.e. permitting non-standard base-pairing at the 3rd anti-codon position. RNAcentral also lists the same sequence under 3 other names. The record is from Rfam by way of RNAcentral. Lineage: Bacteria; Pseudomonadati; Bacteroidota.